Molecule: ribosomal RNA, 443 nt
Filed under: uncultured soil bacterium
Lineage: Bacteria
Description: bacterial SSU rRNA
Rfam family: Bacterial small subunit ribosomal RNA
Source: RNAcentral
AGAUUGAACGCUGGCGGCAUGCCUUACACAUGCAAGUCGAACGGUAGAGUAGCAAUACUUGAGAGUGGCGAACGGGUGAGUAAUAUAUCGGAACGUGCCCAGUCGUGGGGGAUAACGUAGAGAAAUUUACGCUAAUACCGCAUACGAUCUAAGGAUGAAAGCGGGGGACCGUAAGGCCUCGCGCGAUUGGAGCGGCUGAUAUCAGAUUAGGUUGUUGGUGAGGUAAAAGCUCACCAAGCCGACGAUCUGUAGCUGGUUUGAGAGAACGACCAGCCACACUGGGACUGAGACGACGGCCCAGACUCCGUACGGGAGGCAGCAGGUGGGGAAUUUUGGACAAUGGGCGAAAGCCUGGACUCCGAGCAAUGACCGCGUGACGUAGGAAGAAGGCCGUUACGGGUUAGUAAACUUGUACUUUUGUACCGGUAAACGAACGGUACUUA